Molecule: long non-coding RNA, 2072 nt
Filed under: Anas platyrhynchos platyrhynchos (common mallard)
Lineage: Eukaryota; Metazoa; Chordata; Aves; Anseriformes; Anatidae
Description: lncRNA (ENSAPLG00000026035.1)
Source: RNAcentral
CUGUGCCAGGUUGCAAGCUGGGGCACAUGGGCAGGGACUCUUUCCCCCAGCAACAGUAACAGAGGACUUUGUUGUGCCUGAGAAAUCAGUUUGUUUAUUUAGUGUCUGGUGCAUUCUUUUCUCCUGUGCAGUUUUUUAUUAUGCAUGGGAGCAAUAAUGUUUUUCAUUUCUGCUGCAAGCUACUUUGGAGUUGCGUGCGUCAUUGACUGCAGGGAGCUGGGAUCUGCUUUGAAGCCCUGUAAGGUGAAAGGCGAAAAGCAGCUCAGGGAGCAUGGCCCAUGCAUGGAGGAUAUCUGGCUACUGGUAUCUGCAGGUGCAAUGCUAGGACUUCAGAGAAACAGUAAAGCAAAACAUUGCUCUUGCUGUGAGAGAUUAAAUGGGAAAAACAAUCUUUGGAAGAUAAAAAUGUUAAAUAUUCAGUACAUGUUUAGGAGGGUAACUGGUACCUCUAAUAACAGCCAGAAGCAAACAGAGAGCACAGCACAUGCUUCUAUGCACCACAGUAUGGCAUGCACAUUAUGUUUUCUGCCAGACAAGAUUUCUCAACAUGUUUCAAAGAUAGCCUCAAGAAAAGUGUUUUUAGUAGUCCAGAUGUGAAGCUAAAAAUGCAAAGAAAAGAACUGCACAGUCACCAUUAGAAGUCAACAUUCUCUACCUAUCUCACUGUGCUUUCUAAGGAGCCUGUUACUUUCACUCCGUGUGCUGUGCUGAACUGCAGAGAUCUUGGUUAUGAUGGUUUUGUUGCAGAGUUGAUGGAGGGUUCAAGGAGCUGACAUCUGGCUGAUACCUGAUUCUUCACUGUGAGUGCAGAAGCGUUAGGAGAUGCAGCCCCACAUUAUUAUAUUUUACUUCGCAAGAGCUUCAUCUCCAACAUAUUACCCUGCAAAGCUCUUUGUCAUUUUAACACUUCUGCUUCAUCUGCUUUUGUGUUCUCAUUGAAUAUAUUUGUGGUGUCUAGGAGUUACUGCUAGUAUCUGUGUUUUUCAGAAACUGAAGAAAGCCACUUAACUCUGUGGAAAUAUACAUUUUCUUUUUCACACAUGCAUUGUUAUUAAUUAGUUUUAAAGAUACCAUGUUUGUUUUAAAGAUUAUUGCAGAACUGUUCUGAUGCUGUUGACAAAAGCGUUAAGUAAUAUUUUUCUAUCGUUGUGUCAAUAAUUCAUAGGAUAUUGCAAAGAUUAUGUUCUGUUUAAAUGAACUUAAUUAUCUGUUGCCCUUUCACUUCCCAAGCUUUUUUACAUAAAUGUUAAAAAGAAAAUUAAAAAAAUCUUAUUUCUUAUCCACAUAGGUUUGCAAGUGUUAGUAGGAAGUUCAAUAACAAGAGCUGAGUAAAAUCUAAAAUUCUUGACUAGCAGCUUUAAUUCUGUUCUAAAAGCAUAGAUAUGCACAGAUAACUUUCUGCACCUGUCAAAACCUCUUUUGUAGCCAUCACUUUAUUUAUUUUACCACCUUAUUCAUGUCCUUUAAAUUCAAGUCUUCUACACAGAAGAGCUGUGUCUCAUCAUGCUGUGGACUGAGUAGGUGAGAUAAGCCCAUUUUCCCAUAAGAAGGUGUUUCAGGAGGAGAAAUAAUCGGUGGAGGAAGAGAAUAAUUUCCUAAGUGGCAUUUCAUCUUUAUUGAAAGUUUCGAUGCUUUUGUUACACGACUGUCAUCUUUCAAAUUCAAGAGUUCCAUCUAGAGGAAUACUAUUUCAUGAACUUGGUUUUGCUGGCUUUUUAAUGUGACAUAUUUCCUGGCUGAAAAUAGACUAAUUAAUUUUUUCUUCUCAGCUUUUUUUUUAAAAAAAAUUAUUUUUUCUUUUAUUAUUAUUAUUAUUAUUAUUUUUAUUUUGACUACCUACAAAUUCCAUUGUUUCUUCCUGGCAGUCUUUGGAACAACACUUUACCAUCAGUAUUCCCUGCUUAUACUUAAGAUAUUGUCUCCAUACUUCUGCUUACCAAGGGCACUGAAGAAAGAGAAAUUCUGGUCAUGUCUGACUGUCACUUAUGAAUUUGUAGUGCAGAAAGUUGCAAGGCUCAGGUUUUCCUAUCAACAGAAAUAAAAUAUAUCCUUAAGCAAAAAAUAUUUAGAGU